RNAcentral lists this ribosomal RNA (429 nucleotides) under Chloroflexota bacterium. Its description in RNAcentral is "Chloroflexi bacterium partial 16S ribosomal RNA". It matches the Rfam family "Bacterial small subunit ribosomal RNA", at positions 355 to 776 of the family's 1533-position model. The record is from RNAcentral. Lineage: Bacteria; Bacillati; Chloroflexota.
UGGGGAAUAUUGCACAAUGGGCGCAAGCCUGAUGCAGCCAUGCCGCGUGUAUGAAGAAGGCCUUCGGGUUGUAAAGUACUUUCAGUUGGGAGGAAGGUGGUAAGGUUAAUAACCUUAUCAAUUGACGUUACCGACAGAAGAAGCACCGGCUAACUCCGUGCCAGCAGCCGCGGCAAUACGGAGGGUGCAAGCGUUAAUCGGAAUUACUGGGCGUAAAGCGCACGCAGGCGGUUGAUUGAGUCAGAUGUGAAAUCCCCGGGCUUAACCCGGGAAAUGCAUCUGAUACUGGGCAGCUAGAGUCUUGUAGAGGGGGGUAGAAUUCCAUGUGUAGCGGUGAAAUGCGUAGAGAUGUGGAGGAAUACCGGUGGCGAAGGCGGCCCCCUGGACAAAGACUGACGCUCAGGUGCGAAAGCGUGGGGAGCAAACAGG